AUUACUUCUCGGCCUUUUGGCUAAGAUCAAGUGUAGUAUCUACUUUGCAGUAAUGCACUAAUUAUCACUGUGAAGGAACCAAAGCCCUUGCUGCCACAUCAUAAUUAUCAUUUUAUGCUUCCAUGCAAUAUCAGCACUUGUNAUGGGCAAACAAAACAUGGAACCCCACUUUUUCCCUGUUUUUUUUUCCUUCU
Molecule: small nuclear RNA, 194 nt
Filed under: Ophiophagus hannah (king cobra)
Lineage: Eukaryota; Metazoa; Chordata; Lepidosauria; Squamata; Elapidae
Description: U2 spliceosomal RNA
Rfam family: U2 spliceosomal RNA
About the family: U2 is a small nuclear RNA (snRNA) component of the spliceosome (involved in pre-mRNA splicing). Complementary binding between U2 snRNA (in an area lying towards the 5' end but 3' to hairpin I) and the branchpoint sequence (BPS) of the intron results the bulging out of an unpaired adenosine, on the BPS, which initiates a nucleophilic attack at the intronic 5' splice site, thus starting the first of two transesterification reactions that mediate splicing.
Source: Rfam by way of RNAcentral